Molecule: ribosomal RNA, 272 nt
Filed under: Escherichia coli
Lineage: Bacteria; Pseudomonadati; Pseudomonadota; Gammaproteobacteria; Enterobacterales; Enterobacteriaceae
Description: partial 16S ribosomal RNA
Rfam family: Bacterial small subunit ribosomal RNA
Source: RNAcentral
AAAUUGAAGAGUUUGAUCAUGGCUCAGAUUGAACGCUGGCGGCAGGCCUAACACAUGCAAGUCGAACGGUAACAGGAAGCAGCUUGCUGCUUCGCUGACGAGUGGCGGACGGGUGAGUAAUGUCUGGGAAACUGCCUGAUGGAGGGGGAUAACUACUGGAAAUGGUAGCUAAUACCGCAUAACGUCGCAAGACCAAAGAGGGGGACCUUCGGGCCUCUUGCCAUCGGAUGUGCCCAGAUGGGAUUAGCUAGUAGGUGGGGUAACGGCUCACC